This is a long non-coding RNA of Sapajus apella (tufted capuchin), 440 nucleotides long. RefSeq lists it as uncharacterized. NCBI's taxonomy places the organism in Eukaryota, Metazoa, Chordata, Mammalia, Primates, Cebidae. The record is from RefSeq and is a predicted model, not a curated record. The transcript is spliced from 3 exons.
AACAUUCAUCUACCUGUACAUCUCCGUCAUAGAGCUCUUGGGUGACCAGCUGCAUUGUCGAUGAACAGUAUUUUGAAAGUUACCUUUGUUUCUGGGCAGUAGCCUCAAAAUAUUCAGUAAACCAUUCUGUAAACCCACGUGCUGUCAUGUCAUCCAGGCUUUGUUGUUCUAUUUAUAGAGCACAGGUAGAGUAGAUUUAACAUAAUUUUUAAGGAUCCUAGGAUUUUCUGAGUGGUCAGUGAGCAUUGGCAUCAACUUAAAGUCACCAGCUGCAUUAGCUCCUAUCAAGAGAGUCAGCCUAUUUUUUGAAGCCAGGCAUUGACUUCUCUCUAGCUACGAAAGCCCCUAGAUGGCGUCUUCUUCCAAUAUAAGGCCACUUCAUCUACACUGAACAUCAAUUCUUCUUCCUUACCUCUCUCAGUCUUCAUAGAAUUGAAGAG